UCCUAAACUCAACUGACUACUUGCUGUA
This 28-nucleotide small RNA is filed under the name Bombyx mori (domestic silkworm). Its description in RNAcentral is "ovarian small RNA-27666". The record is from RNAcentral. Lineage: Eukaryota; Metazoa; Arthropoda; Insecta; Lepidoptera; Bombycidae.